RNAcentral lists this ribosomal RNA (394 nucleotides) under uncultured bacterium. RNAcentral describes it as "partial 16S ribosomal RNA". It matches the Rfam family "Bacterial small subunit ribosomal RNA", at positions 523 to 918 of the family's 1533-position model. The record is from RNAcentral.
AUACGUAGGUGACAAGCGUUAUCCGGAUUUACUGGGCGUAAAGGGCGUGUAGGCGGUCUUGCAAGUCAGAAGUGAAAUUCCUGAGCUCAACUCGGGCGCUGCUUCUGAAACUGCAGGACUUGAGUGCUGGAGGGGAUAGCGGAAUUCCUAGUGGAGCGGUAAAAUGCGCAGAUAUUAGGAAGAACACCGGUGGCGAAGGCAGCCUUCCGGCCCGUCAACGACGCUCAUGCUCGAAGGUGCGGGUAUCAAACAGGAUUAGAUACCCUGGUAGUCCGCACAGUAAACGAUGGACACCCGCGGUUUGGCCUGUAUGGCUGAGCCGCCAAGCGAAAGCGUUAAGUGUCCCACCUGGGGAGUACGCCGGCAACGGUGAAACUCAAAGGAAUUGACGGGG